This 76-nucleotide transfer RNA is filed under the name Arenimonas maotaiensis. Its description in RNAcentral is "tRNA-Thr". It matches the Rfam family "tRNA". Rfam says of the family: Transfer RNA (tRNA) molecules are approximately 80 nucleotides in length. The record is from RNAcentral. Lineage: Bacteria; Pseudomonadati; Pseudomonadota; Gammaproteobacteria; Lysobacterales; Lysobacteraceae. RNAcentral also lists the same sequence under 3 other names.
GCCGGAAUAGCUCAGUCGGUAGAGCGGCGCAUUCGUAAUGCGUAGGUCGGAGGUUCGAUUCCUCUUUCCGGCACCA